RNAcentral lists this ribosomal RNA (253 nucleotides) under uncultured bacterium. RNAcentral describes it as "partial 16S ribosomal RNA". It matches the Rfam family "Bacterial small subunit ribosomal RNA", at positions 524 to 776 of the family's 1533-position model. The record is from RNAcentral.
UACGGAGGGUGCAAGCGUUAUCCGGAUUUACUGGGUUUAAAGGGUGCGUAGGUGGGUAGGUAAGUCAGUGGUGAAAUCUCUGGGCUUAACCCAGAAAUUGCCAUUGAUACUGUAGGGCUUGAGUAUAGUUGCCGUUGGCGGAAUAUGACAUGUAGUGGUGAAAUACAUAGAGAUGUCAUAGAACACCGAUUGCGAAGGCAGCUAACGAAACUAUAACUGACACUGAGGCUCGAAAGUGCGGGGAUCAAACAGG